Molecule: small nucleolar RNA, 106 nt
Filed under: Nelumbo nucifera (sacred lotus)
Lineage: Eukaryota; Viridiplantae; Streptophyta; Magnoliopsida; Proteales; Nelumbonaceae
Description: Plant small nucleolar RNA R71
Rfam family: Plant small nucleolar RNA R71
About the family: R71 is a member of the C/D box family of snoRNAs containing the C (UGAUGA) and D (CUGA) box motifs. Multiple nearly identical copies of this snoRNA have been identified in Arabidopsis, and it is thought to function as a 2'-O-ribose methylation guide for 18S ribosomal RNA.
Source: Rfam by way of RNAcentral
AGUCCAUGAUGAGGGACCUUCCUCAAUAAUUCCUUGUAGCGCUCCCAUGUCUCAUAUAAUGAUUCAUCGUCCUUUCCUUGAAAGAGAAAGGAAAUAAUUUGAGUCU